This 501-nucleotide ribosomal RNA is filed under the name uncultured bacterium. RNAcentral's name for it is "partial 16S ribosomal RNA". It matches the Rfam family "Bacterial small subunit ribosomal RNA", at positions 30 to 523 of the family's 1533-position model. The record is from RNAcentral.
AUUGAACGCUGGCGGCAGGCUUAACACAUGCAAGUCGAGCGGAGAUGAGGUGCUUGCACCUUAUCUUAGCGGCGGACGGGUGAGUAAUGCUUAGGAAUCUGCCUAUUAGUGGGGGACAACAUUCCGAAAGGAAUGCUAAUACCGCAUACGUCCUACGGGAGAAAGCAGGGGAUCUUCGGACCUUGCGCUAAUAGAUGAGCCUAAGUCGGAUUAGCUAGUUGGUGGGGUAAAGGCCUACCAAGGCGACGAUCUGUAGCGGGUCUGAGAGGAUGAUCCGCCAAACUGGGAAUGGGACACGGCCCAGACUCCUACGUGAGGCAGCAGUGGGGAAUAUGGGACAAUGGGGGGAACCCUGAUCCAGCCAUGCCGCGUGUGUGAAGAAGGCCUUAUGGUUGUAAAGCACUUUAAGCGAGGAGGAGGCUACUGAGACUAAUACUCUUGGAUAGUGGACGUUACUCGCAGAAUAAGCACCGGCUAACUCUGUGCCAGCAGCCGCCGUAA